CACCGCGGUUAUACGAGAGGCCCAAGUUGAUAGAUGCCGGCGUAAAGAGUGGUCAGUAUAAUAUUACACUAAAGCCAAACACCUUCAAAGCUGUCAUACGCAAUCGAAGGCAGGAAGCCCUUCCACGAAAGUGGCUUUAAACAAUACAAUCCACGAAAGCUAGGGAA
This 167-nucleotide ribosomal RNA is filed under the name Awaous ocellaris (spotfin river goby). RNAcentral describes it as "partial small subunit ribosomal RNA". Lineage: Eukaryota; Metazoa; Chordata; Actinopteri; Gobiiformes; Gobiidae. The record is from RNAcentral.